Molecule: ribosomal RNA, 584 nt
Filed under: uncultured bacterium
Lineage: Bacteria
Description: bacterial SSU rRNA
Rfam family: Bacterial small subunit ribosomal RNA
Source: RNAcentral
GAGGGGCCCAUGUGAUAUUAGCUAGUUGGUGGGGUAACGGCCCACCAAGGCGAAGAUGUCUAGCGGGUGUGAGAGCACGACCCGCGCCACUCGCACUGAGACACUGGCGAGACACCUACGGGUGGCUGCAGUCGAGGAUCUUCGGCAAUGGGCGAAAGCCUGACCGAGCGAUGCCGCGUGCGCGAUGAAGGCCUUCGGGUUGUAAAGCGCGAAAGAGGGGAGAAAAUCCCGCAGGGGUUUGAUCUAUCCUCAGUAAGCUCGGGCUAAGUUCGUGCCAGCAGCCGCGGUAAGACGAACCGAGCGAACGUUGUUCGGAAUCACUGGGCUUAAAGGGCGCGUAGGCGGGCUGUCAAGUUUGGGGUGAAAUCCCGCGGCUCAACCGUGGAACUGCCUCAAAUACUGACGGUCUCGAGGGAGGUAGGGGCGAGCGGAACUGAUGGUGGAGCGGUGAAAUGCGUUGAUAUCAUCAGGAACUCCGGUGGCGAAGGCGGCUCGCUGGACUUUUUCUGACGCUGAGGCGCGAAAGCCAGGGGAGCAAACGGGAUUAGAUACCCCGGUAGUCGUGGCCUUAAACGAUGAGAACU